Molecule: small RNA, 71 nt
Filed under: Arabidopsis thaliana (thale cress)
Lineage: Eukaryota; Viridiplantae; Streptophyta; Magnoliopsida; Brassicales; Brassicaceae
Description: ATSL235550
Source: RNAcentral
AAUAAAAGCCAACUAACUCAAAAUUCUACAGUUAUUGCUACACCACAUAAAGGGUUUACGAUCAUGAGUCA